This 85-nucleotide transfer RNA is filed under the name Felis catus (domestic cat). It matches the Rfam family "tRNA". Rfam says of the family: Transfer RNA (tRNA) molecules are approximately 80 nucleotides in length. Their secondary structure includes four short double-helical elements and three loops (D, anti-codon, and T loops). The record is from Rfam by way of RNAcentral. Lineage: Eukaryota; Metazoa; Chordata; Mammalia; Carnivora; Felidae.
ACCUGGGUGGCUCAGUCGGUUGAGCGUCUGACUUCAGCUCAGGUCAUGAUCUCGUGGACAAUGGGUUUGAGCCCCAUGUCAGGCU